This 273-nucleotide ribosomal RNA is filed under the name uncultured bacterium. RNAcentral describes it as "partial 16S ribosomal RNA". It matches the Rfam family "Bacterial small subunit ribosomal RNA", at positions 524 to 796 of the family's 1533-position model. The record is from RNAcentral.
AACGUAGGUACCGAGCGUUAUCCGGAUUUACUGGGCGUAAAGCGCGUUCAGGCGGCGUGGCAAGUCGGGCAUGAAAUCUCUCGGCUCAACCGGGAGGGGUUGUCCGAUACUGCUGGGCUUGAGGGCAGGAGAGGGUGGUGGAAUUCCGGGUGUAGUGGUGAAAUGCGUAGAGAUCCGGAGGAACACCAGUGGCGAAGGCGGCCACCUGGCCUGUACCUGACGCUGAAACGCGAAAGCUAGGGGAGCGAACGGGAUUAGAAACCCCCGUAGUCC